CCAAGGAGUCUAACAUGUGCGCGAGUCAUUGGGUCUUGCUCAGGCCCAAAGGCGCAAUGAAAGUGAAGGCCGGCCCGGUCGGCUGCGUUGGGAUCCCGCACACUUUGUGCGGGCGCACCAACGGCCCGUCCCGAUCGCCGCGUCGACGGGGCGGAGUGAGAGCGUACACGUUGGGACCCGAAAGAUGGUGAACUAUGCCUGGGCAGGACGAAGCCAGAGGAAACUCUGGUGGAGGUCCGCAGCGAUUCUGACGUGCAAAUCGAUCGUCAGACCUGGGUAUAGGGGCGAAAGACUAAUCGAACCAUCUA
This 308-nucleotide ribosomal RNA is filed under the name Stylocellus sp. Borneo 14. Its description in RNAcentral is "eukaryotic LSU rRNA". It matches the Rfam family "Eukaryotic large subunit ribosomal RNA", at positions 666 to 946 of the family's 3401-position model. The record is from RNAcentral. Lineage: Eukaryota; Metazoa; Arthropoda; Arachnida; Opiliones; Stylocellidae.